GGAGAGAUGUCCGAAUUGGCUAAGGAGCCGGACUUGAAAUCCGGUGAAGCCGAAAGGUGUCUGGGUUCGAGUCCCAGUCUCUCCGCCA
This 88-nucleotide transfer RNA is filed under the name Halanaerobium salsuginis. RNAcentral describes it as "tRNA_Ser_TGA". It matches the Rfam family "tRNA". From Rfam's summary of the family: Transfer RNA (tRNA) molecules are approximately 80 nucleotides in length. Their secondary structure includes four short double-helical elements and three loops (D, anti-codon, and T loops). Lineage: Bacteria; Bacillati; Bacillota; Clostridia; Halanaerobiales; Halanaerobiaceae. The record is from RNAcentral.